RNAcentral lists this unclassified non-coding RNA (138 nucleotides) under uncultured fungus. RNAcentral describes it as "sequence contains ITS1". Lineage: Eukaryota; Fungi. The record is from RNAcentral.
CCGAGGUCUGAAGGGGCAACCCUUCAACCCCCAACCUGUGUUUAUCCUUGUACCGCGUUGCUUUGGUCUCUUUUGCGAGGGGCCAAAGUUUUCCAUUCUGUAUUUCUGUGUCUGAACUGCAUUUUUUUAAAAAAAGCA